Non-coding RNA from Pelobates cultripes (western spadefoot toad), 212 nucleotides. Lineage: Eukaryota; Metazoa; Chordata; Amphibia; Anura; Pelobatidae. The record is from the annotation of a GenBank genome assembly.
CCCACAUUCAGACAAAUUGCAGUCCAAAAAGAAACAUACUUCCAAGUCUAGUGGAAAGUACAAGCUCUCCAAUUUAAAUGUUAUUCUGCAAAGCAUGUUGCACUGAGGCAAGAAAAACAUUAAAUAAAACAGUUCAUAGUCUCCAUAGAUUAACAUAGAAACUACACUUUGGAGAAUCAAUUUAAUGUCCGCAGACACUAUGGAGUCCUCUC